RNAcentral lists this long non-coding RNA (1274 nucleotides) under Anas platyrhynchos platyrhynchos (common mallard). RNAcentral's name for it is "lncRNA (ENSAPLG00000030686.1)". Lineage: Eukaryota; Metazoa; Chordata; Aves; Anseriformes; Anatidae. The record is from RNAcentral.
GCCCUUUUUGGGAAAAACAAAACUCCCACUAUCUGUAUGGGAUGAUUAGGAAGAUAUAUAUGUUAACACUGAAGAAGGAAAAUGUAGGUUUUUUUGUUUGUUUGUUUGUUUGCUUGUUUGUUUGUUUUUCUCCUAGAAUUCAGGGAGCUUCAAUUCUGCUGAUAUGUCCUUGGCAGAUGAGCUAAUCUGGAAGACUACUUAAAACUAUUUUUUUUUUCUCUUUUAACACGGCAAGUUCAAUUAGGCGAGGACUGUUUUCGAUUCUCGCACCAGCUGGCCACCGCACCGCGACUGCACCCCCAGCGCUUCGGUAUCUUCGCCUGCCUCCAAGACGAGCCCCAGUCCUCGGGUCUACCCAGCAUUUCCAUCCUCUGAAGGGGCACGGCUCUGCGCUUCCAACGGAGCCUUGCGGACCCGGUCCCGCGCCGUGCCGUGCCUUACUCCCAGGUAAAGGCGGCGGCCGGGCAAGGCAGGGGGGCAGCAGGAGGGGAGCGGAGGCGCGCGGGGCGCACUUUGGGAAGGCAGCGUUCGGGCCAAGCCCCGCCGAGGGGACGGGGCGGCCGCAGCGCCCCCCCGCUCCGCAGCUCGGCCGGGGCUGCGGGAAGUUUUCGGGGCGCUUUCCCCGUUCCCUCUCCGAAGGGGCGAGGUUGGGCUGGGGGAAAGGGGAAAUCGGUUUGAGGGACGGGGGCGCGGCGGAUCCUCGGGAAAAGCAGCUCCGGGCGCGUAGGGUGAGCGCUGACAAAAGGCAUUUGGCAAGUUUCUCUCCCCCCCCCCCCCCCUUUUUUUUUUUUUUUUUUUUUCCUUUCCUCAUUUUUAAAUCGUCCAAUUGUUAGCAAAAAACCCAAGCAUAAAGUAAAAACCAAGGGAAAAAAAAAAAAAAAAAAAAAAAAGAAAAAGAAAAGAAAAAGAAAAAGAAACACCAGCCCCUUCCCCGUCCGCCCCACCUAGCAGUUACGACCGUUCAGCAGCUGUUAAUAUUUGGGGGAAAACCACGGGGAAAAGAAAGGAAACGACACGGCAGGGCAGGGCAGGGCAGGGCAGGGAGCCCUCGCGGUGCUGAAGAAAUUGACUUCGGGCACAGAAGUGUCCUAGGUGCCACCGCGCCGCCCCAACCAAGUUUCCUCGGGGCAACGGCAGCACCCGUGGGCGCGACCGGCUCCGGGACGGGACGGGACGGGACAGCACCCCAUUGCUCCACACCCCGGUGGCUGCGGGGCUGGGACAGGGGGCGAGCACAGGGGGGACCCCCGAGCGCCUUCACCCGGUCCCGGUCC